UCCUCUCGGUGGAAAGACUUUCAGAUGUAU
RNAcentral lists this non-coding RNA (30 nucleotides) under Rattus norvegicus (Norway rat). The record is from RNAcentral. Lineage: Eukaryota; Metazoa; Chordata; Mammalia; Rodentia; Muridae.